CCUUGCCGCCGGCGACCGGCGCACGGGUGAGUAACGCGUAUGCAACCUGCCCGUGGCAGGGGGAUAAGCGGGGGAAACCCCGUCUAAUACCGCGUAACGCGGCCUUGGGGCAUCCCAAGGCCGCCAAAGGGAGCAAUCCCGGCCACGGAUGGGCAUGCGGCGCAUUAGCUAGUCGGCGGGGUAACGGCCCACCGAGGCGACGAUGCGUAGGGGUUCUGAGAGGAAGGUCCCCCACACUGGUACUGAGACACGGACCAGACUCCUACGGGAGGCAGCAG
This 278-nucleotide ribosomal RNA is filed under the name uncultured bacterium. Its description in RNAcentral is "partial 16S ribosomal RNA". It matches the Rfam family "Bacterial small subunit ribosomal RNA", at positions 80 to 354 of the family's 1533-position model. The record is from RNAcentral.